RNAcentral lists this ribosomal RNA (726 nucleotides) under uncultured bacterium. Its description in RNAcentral is "bacterial SSU rRNA". It matches the Rfam family "Bacterial small subunit ribosomal RNA", at positions 39 to 760 of the family's 1533-position model. The record is from RNAcentral.
GCGGCAGGCCUAACACAUGCAAGUCGAGCGGUAGAGAGAAGCUUGCUUCUCUUGAGGGCGGCGGACGGGUGAGUAAUGCCUAGGAAUCUGCCUGGUAGUGGGGGAUAACGUUCGGAAACGGACGCUAAUACCGCAUACGUCCUACGGGAGAAAGCAGGGGACCUUCGGGCCUUGCGCUAUCAGAUGAGCCUAGGUCGGAUUAGCUAGUUGGUGAGGUAAUGGCUCACCAAGGCGACGAUCCGUAACUGGUCUGAGAGGAUGAUCAGUCACACUGGAACUGAGACACGGUCCAGACUCCUACGGGAGGCAGCAGUGGGGAAUAUUGGACAAUGGGCGAAAGCCUGAUCCAGCCAUGCCGCGUGUGUGAAGAAGGUCUUCGGAUUGUAAAGCACUUUAAGUUGGGAGGAAGGGUUGUAGAUUAAUACUCUGCAAUUUUGACGUUACCGACAGAAUAAGCACCGGCUAACUCUGUGCCAGCAGCCGCGGUAAUACAGAGGGUGCAAGCGUUAAUCGGAAUUACUGGGCGUAAAGCGCGCGUAGGUGGUUUGUUAAGUUGGAUAUGAAAUCCCCGGGCUCAACCUGGGAACUGCAUUCAAAACUGACUGACUAGAGUAUGGUAGAGGGUGGUGGAAUUUCCUGUGUAGCGGUGAAAUGCGUAGAUAUAGGAAGGAACACCAGUGGCGAAGGCGACCACCUGGACUAAUACUGACACUGAGGUGCGAAAGC